Long non-coding RNA from Mauremys mutica (yellowpond turtle), 894 nucleotides. RefSeq lists it as uncharacterized. NCBI's taxonomy places the organism in Eukaryota, Metazoa, Chordata, Testudines, Geoemydidae. The record is from RefSeq and is a predicted model, not a curated record. The transcript is spliced from 3 exons.
UGUCUUUUUGCCUCACCUUAUAUUUUCCCCAAACUCACUGUUCUGAUCCCAGAGAUAAGACAAUCCCCCUGUGGUUUGAGUCUCCAGUGUCUUCCUAGGCUGAUCUGACAUCCCCUCAUCAAACUGGCAUUUCCUAUUGAAUUACCAGCAAAUGCAGGUCCCACUGUGUUUUGGCUUUUUUAAUGCUUCCUUCACAUCAGAGACUAGGUAAACAGGUAAAUCAAUCUGCCUUUGUUUGGGACAGAUUUGUUUAUCAACCCUCCCUGGUUACAUGGUUUAUAAACUUAUUUUUAGUACAUACAGACAACUUCUUGAAUAGCUCCUGUACAUACGUCUCAUAAUGCUUUUGAUGAUCAGUACGACAUAAGCUUUCAUUUGACACCAUACACAACAUUCUUUACAAAGUAAUACUAUGACUGCAAUGUAUUAGAUGGAGUGAGUUUGUCGGGCCUGAUAGGAGUUGCUGACACAGAGUAGUGAACCACCAAUGGGCCUCCGUGUCACACAAGGCUUCUUCCUGAAGAAAACUAGCUCCAAGAUGCAUUGACUCAGCUCAAGCUCCGAUUGUGCUUGGCAAUGUGAAGACACCACAGUCUCUGCUCCAAAGAACAUACAAUCUAAAUAUACAAGACAGACAAAGGGUCCGUUUUACAAGUAUCUGUUCCUAGUUUGCUGCGUAACAAAGUGAGCCAGGACCUAGGAGCGCCCCCUGGAACACAGCUGCCAGCUCCUCCGCCUCCUUAGACGUGGCUCUGACUCGACACCCGGGAUAAGCAAGCACACCACGUUCCACAGCUACUGCUGCAGCCCUGGCAGGACUAAAAAGUCAGGCAGACUCUGUACGUCUGCUCCGGGGCUGCAGGGGGAAGUGAGCGAGGACAGAUUUUCCACUCG